This 83-nucleotide transfer RNA is filed under the name Candidatus Rehaiarchaeum fermentans. RNAcentral describes it as "tRNA-Ser". It matches the Rfam family "tRNA". From Rfam's summary of the family: Transfer RNA (tRNA) molecules are approximately 80 nucleotides in length. The record is from RNAcentral. Lineage: Archaea; Nanobdellati; Candidatus Parvarchaeota.
GCUCGGGUCGCGUAACCUGGUAGCGCGCACGCCUGGAGAGCGUGUGGGUUUUUCCCUUGUGGGUUCAAAUCCCACCCCGAGCG